GUUAGCUACAAAACUUGGAUACUUACAUUUUUUCCCCCGCCAGAAUACUACGAGCAACAGCUUAAAACUCAAGGACUUGGCGGUGCUCUAAAUCCAUCCAGAGGAGCCUGUUCUAUAAUCGAUAACCCACGUUAAACCUCACCAUUAUUUGCCAACUCAGCCUAUAUACCACCGUCGCCAGCAUACCUUAUUGAAAGCAUUAAAGUAAGCAAAAAUGACUCCACAAAUACGUCAGGUCAAGGUGUAGCAUAUAUUCUGGUAAGAAAUGGGCUACAUUUUUUAAAAUAAACAACGGAUAAUAAAAUGAAAUUAUAUUUUAAGACGGAUUUGACAGUAAGAAAAGAUCAUAAUACUCUUCUUAAACUGGCCCUAGAGCGCGC
RNAcentral lists this ribosomal RNA (380 nucleotides) under Gegeneophis cf. mhadeiensis DSM-2011. Its description in RNAcentral is "partial 12S ribosomal RNA". It matches the Rfam family "Bacterial small subunit ribosomal RNA", at positions 827 to 1384 of the family's 1533-position model. Lineage: Eukaryota; Metazoa; Chordata; Amphibia; Gymnophiona; Indotyphlidae. The record is from RNAcentral.